RNAcentral lists this unclassified non-coding RNA (302 nucleotides) under fungal sp. Its description in RNAcentral is "partial internal transcribed spacer region". The stretch from base 1 to 46 matches the Rfam family "Eukaryotic small subunit ribosomal RNA", at positions 1786 to 1831 of the family's 1831-position model. The record is from RNAcentral. Lineage: Eukaryota; Fungi.
AAGUCGUAACAAGGUUUCCGUAGGUGAACCUGCGGAAGGAUCAUUAACAAAUCAUUGAGCGCAAGCUCAUCAACCUUUGUGAAUAGGCUUGCGCAAGCAAGUUAGAUGGGACGAGGGAGGCGGUGGUUAGUUAGGUGGUGGUGGUGGUGGUGAGUGUUUAGGCUGAAGCAAUUCAAACCUGAGCAAGCAUUAGCUAGCAGCCCAACAGCCAGCCCCGCUACAUUAAUAUUGUCUGAUUACAUUUGGAGGUCGAAAGAUUUCUAAUAAUAAUACAACUUUUAACAAUGGAUCUCUUGGCUCUU